Molecule: ribosomal RNA, 395 nt
Filed under: uncultured bacterium
Lineage: Bacteria
Description: bacterial SSU rRNA
Rfam family: Bacterial small subunit ribosomal RNA
Source: RNAcentral
GUGUCAGCCGCCGCGGUAAUACAGAGGUCCCAAGCGUUGUUCGGAUUCACUGGGCGUAAAGGGUGCGUAGGUGGCAGGGUAAGUUUGAUGUGAAAUCUCCGAGCUCAACUCGGAAACUGCAUUGAAUACUAUCCUGCUUGAGGAUUGGAGGGGAGACUGGAAUUCUCGGUGUAGCAGUGAAAUGCGUAGAUAUCGAGAGGAACACCAGUGGCGAAGGCGAGUCUCUAGACAACUCCUGACACUGAGGCACGAAAGCUAGGGGAGCAAACAGGAUUAGAUACCCUGGUAGUCCUAGCCGUAAACGGUGCAUAUUUGCUGUAAAAGGAAUCGACCCCUUUUGUGGCGUAGCCAACGCGUUAAAUAUGCCGCCUGGGAAGUACGGUCGCAAGAUUAAA